GCGACCGUGGCGGAAUUGGCAGACGCGCUAGACUUAGGAUCUAGUAUCUUAAGAUGUGGGAGUUCAAGUCUCUUCGGUCGCACCA
This 85-nucleotide transfer RNA is filed under the name Bacillota bacterium. Its description in RNAcentral is "tRNA-Leu". It matches the Rfam family "tRNA". From Rfam's summary of the family: Transfer RNA (tRNA) molecules are approximately 80 nucleotides in length. Their secondary structure includes four short double-helical elements and three loops (D, anti-codon, and T loops). RNAcentral also lists the same sequence under 3 other names. The record is from RNAcentral. Lineage: Bacteria; Bacillati; Bacillota.